AAUUAAUAAAUAAAUGGUGGAAAUGAGAAUUUUAUUUCUUGUUGUGGUAAUCAUUUGGAAAAUUCUAAUAGAUAGGGUGGUUUUAUAUGAAAUAUAUUCAAAGCAUAUACUCCCUUUGAAGGGUUAUAAUAAUAAGAGUGAGGCUACUAUGCUAUCGAAAGCACGGAACCUUCCGUGCUUCUAGCUUGUUUUCGAUGUUGCGAUGUUCGAAUCGUCGAUCGGCUCUGUUAAACUUGAUAUAGAGUAUUUGGAGUACCUAGAAAAUAAAUUUUAUGAUUUUACGAUAUCAUUUGCCUAGUGAACGAAGGGGCUCAAAAUCAACGGCUGAAAAUAAAAAUCUUAUAAAAUGUAAUAAUACGACAUUAAAAUUUUAAAUCAAAAAUAUUAAUCUUGUUUUAUAUAGUAUAAAGAAUUUUCUAUCAAAAUUUCACGUGAUUUGGAUAUUUCUACACCGUUAAACUUGCAAACGGCUCACUACGGCCAUUGAAAUUUGUUGAUUUUGAGCCCAUUCGAUCACUAGGCAAAUGAUAUCGAAAAAUAAUAAAAUUUAUUUUCUAGGUACUCCAAAUACUCUAGAUCAAGUUUAACGGAGCCGAUCGACGAUUCGAAAGUCGCAACAUCGAAAACAAGCUGAAAGCACGGAAGGCUCCGUGCUUCUGAUAGUAUAGUAGCCUCACUCUAAUAAUAAUACAAUGAUACUUUUUCAACAAUCCAAUAUAUACGGCAAAAAUUAAAAUGAAUAUAUAAUAUAAUUU
Molecule: long non-coding RNA, 755 nt
Filed under: Ananas comosus (pineapple)
Lineage: Eukaryota; Viridiplantae; Streptophyta; Magnoliopsida; Poales; Bromeliaceae
Description: long non-coding RNA (ACOM_LNC021734)
Source: RNAcentral